Molecule: ribosomal RNA, 253 nt
Filed under: uncultured bacterium
Lineage: Bacteria
Description: partial 16S ribosomal RNA
Rfam family: Bacterial small subunit ribosomal RNA
Source: RNAcentral
UACAGAGGUCUCAACCGUUGUUCGGAUUCAUUGGGCGUAAAGGGUGCGUAGGCGGUCGGGUAAGUCGGAUGUGAAAUCUCAGGGCUCAACCCUGAAACUGCAUUCGAUACUGCCUGGCUAGGGUACUGGAGAGGAGACUGGAAUUUACGGUGUAGCAGUGAAAUGCGUAGAUAUCGGGAGGAACACCAAUGGCGAAGGCAGCUCGCUGGGACGGUACUGACGCUGAGACGCGAAAGCGUGGGGAGCGAACAGG